RNAcentral lists this ribosomal RNA (468 nucleotides) under uncultured bacterium. Its description in RNAcentral is "partial 16S ribosomal RNA". It matches the Rfam family "Bacterial small subunit ribosomal RNA", at positions 28 to 507 of the family's 1533-position model. The record is from RNAcentral.
GACGAACGCUGGCGGCGUGCUUAACACAUGCAAGUCGAACGGAAAGGCCCUGCUUUUGUGGGGUGCUCGAGUGGCGAACGGGUGAGUAACACGUGAGUAACCUGCCCUUGACUUUGGGAUAACUUCAGGAAACUGGGGCUAAUACCGGAUAGGAGCUCCUGCUGCAUGGUGGGGGUUGGAAAGUUUCGGCGGUUGGGGAUGGACUCGCGGCUUAUCAGCUUGUUUGUGGGGUAGUGGCUUACCAAGGCUUUGACGGGUAGCCGGCCUGAGAGGGUGACCGGCCACAUUGGGACUGAGAUACGGCCCAGACUCCUACGGGAGGCAGCAGUGGGGAAUAUUGCACAAUGGGCGGGAGCCUGAUGCAGCAGCGCCGCGUGCGGGAUGACGGCCUUCGGGUUGUAAACCGCUUUCGCCUGUGACGAAGCGUGAGUGACGGUAAUGGGUAAAGAAGCACCGGCUAACUACGUG